This 193-nucleotide unclassified non-coding RNA is filed under the name Debaryomyces hansenii. RNAcentral describes it as "partial 5.8S ribosomal RNA". The record is from RNAcentral. Lineage: Eukaryota; Fungi; Ascomycota; Pichiomycetes; Serinales; Debaryomycetaceae.
UCUCUCAAACCUUCGGGUUUGGUAUUGAGUGAUACUCUUAGUUGAACUAGGCGUUUGCUUGAAAUGUAUUGGCAUGAGUGGUACUGGAUAGUGCUAUAUGACUUUCAAUGUAUUAGGUUUAUCCAACUCGUUGAAUAGUUUAAUGGUAUAUUUCUCGGUAUUCUAGGCUCGGCCUUACAAUAUAACAAACAAG